Molecule: ribosomal RNA, 253 nt
Filed under: uncultured bacterium
Lineage: Bacteria
Description: partial 16S ribosomal RNA
Rfam family: Bacterial small subunit ribosomal RNA
Source: RNAcentral
UACGUAGGGUGCAAGCGUUGUCCGGAAUUAUUGGGCGUAAAGAGCUCGUAGGCGGUUUGUCGCGUCUGCUGUGAAAACUCGGGGCUUAACCCCGGGCCUGCAGUGGGUACGGGCAGACUAGAGUGCGGUAGGGGAGACUGGAAUUCCUGGUGUAGCGGUGAAAUGCGCAGAUAUCGGAAGGAACAUCAGUGGCGAAGGCGACUACCUGGCCUGUUCUUGACGCUGAGGCGCGAAAGCUAGGGGAGCAAACGGG